RNAcentral lists this ribosomal RNA (459 nucleotides) under uncultured bacterium. RNAcentral describes it as "partial 16S ribosomal RNA". It matches the Rfam family "Bacterial small subunit ribosomal RNA", at positions 338 to 795 of the family's 1533-position model. The record is from RNAcentral.
CCUACGGGAGGCAGCAGUGAGGAAUAUUGGUCAAUGGUCGGGAGACUGAACCAGCCAAGCCGCGUGAGGGAGGAAGGUACAGAGUAUCGUAAACCUCUUUUGUCAGGGAACAAAGGCGGGGACGUGUCCCCGGAUGAGUGUACCUGAAGAAAAAGCAUCGGCUAACUCCGUGCCAGCAGCCGCGGUAAUAGGGAGGAUGCGAGCGUUAUCCGGAUUUAGUGGGUUUAAAGGGUGCGAAGGCGGUCUGUUAAGUCAGCGGUCAAAGCCCGGGGCUCAACCCCGGCCCGCCGUUGAAACUGGCAGUCUCGAGUUGGAGAGAAGUAUGCGGAAUGCGCGGUGUAGCGGUGAAAUGCAUAGAUAUCGCGCAGAACUCCGAUUGCGAAGGCAGCAUGCCGGCUCCACACUGACGCUGAGGCACGAAAGCGUGGGUAUCGAACAGGAUUAGAUACCCCUGUAGUC